Molecule: unclassified non-coding RNA, 233 nt
Filed under: plant metagenome
Description: partial contains small subunit ribosomal RNA, internal transcribed spacer 1, and 5.8S ribosomal RNA
Rfam family: Eukaryotic small subunit ribosomal RNA (bases 1-54)
Source: RNAcentral
GGAAGUAAAAAUCGUAACAAGGUUUCCGUAGGUGAACCUGCGGAAGGAUCAUUCAUAAUAAAGUGUUUUAUGGCACUUUUUAAAAAUCCAUAUCCACCUUGUGUGCAAUGUUAGAUCUCGUCAAUCUUGGCGAGAUUUUUAUACAUCAACUCAUUCUUUAACUAAUUUGUCUGAAAAAUAUUAUGAAUACUUAAUUCAAAAUACAACUUUCAACAACGGAUCUCUUGGCUCUC